GCCGCCGCAGUGAAAGUGCAUGAGGAAAGUGAAUGUUUUGCUCCUGAUGUGAUUCACUGACUGCAGGUACCACUGGUAGAGAGAGAGAGAGUCUCCGCCAGCAGCUAAGUUUACAAGAAUGUGCCAAAUUUUAAGGCGAUAUCAAUCACCAACGUAAAGCUGACUAGAGGUCAAACGGAGCUCAGCAGAGACAAAAGCUAUUACCAUAAUUCACGGUCUGCCGCGUACCUGGAGAGCAGAGCUGCUGUGAACAGUCUGGGACACAUCGGACAGAGGAACAAAACACGAGAGGGGACAGGAAGGAUAAUCAGUGGUGGAAGAAGUACUCAGAUCCUUUUCUCAAGUAAAACGACCAAUAUAACAAUGUAAAAAUACUUUGUUACAAGUAAAGUUCCUGCAUUGUGUGCAUGCAAAAAACAGAAGUAUUAUCAACAUAAUGUAUCAAGUAUCAAAAGUAAAAAUGUCUCCUGUGAUUAAUAUAAUAGAUUUGUAUAUUACAUUAUGAUGCAUCAAUGUGUAAGUAGCAUUUUGCUGUUGCAUCUGCUGGAGGUGGAGCUAGUAUUAACUACUUCAUAUACAGUUUUCAUCCAAAUUUAGCACAAAUGUGAACCAAAUUUCCUGAAAAUCUACAAAAAUUAAAAUGAAUUCACAUUUCAAUCCUUUUCUGUUAUGUGAAUAUUAGUACAGAGUUGGGUGCAUCGAAAUGAACUGAAGAAGGACGUAAAACAGAAGCAAUGCAUUAAAACAUUUUUUUUAAUUAUGUGAUAUACUGACAUCCGGGAUGUUAUGAACUGAUUAUUUACAGUGCAAACAACCCAAGUCUGAAUAUGGAAAACAAUGAGCACAAAAAAUGGGCUGGGCUGUGGAACAUUUGUUCAUCUUGGCAGGUUCUCCAUUGACCUCAGGCGUAGAUCUGUUGUGCUUGAAUGUAGCAUGGUUAUGAAAGCACUUCUCACCAGAGCUCUGUACUACAGCAGCAAAAAAGGCUCCGAUGAA
Micropterus salmoides (largemouth bass) is the source of this 996-nucleotide long non-coding RNA. RefSeq lists it as uncharacterized. The record is from RefSeq and is a predicted model, not a curated record. Lineage: Eukaryota; Metazoa; Chordata; Actinopteri; Centrarchiformes; Centrarchidae. The transcript is spliced from 3 exons.